Molecule: ribosomal RNA, 468 nt
Filed under: uncultured bacterium
Lineage: Bacteria
Description: partial 16S ribosomal RNA
Rfam family: Bacterial small subunit ribosomal RNA
Source: RNAcentral
GAUGAACGCUGGCGGCGUGCCUAACACAUGCAAGUCGAACGGAAAGGCCCUGAGCUUGUGCGGUGCACGAGUGCCGCACGGGUGAGUAAAACGCGUGUAUCCUCCCCUUGUCUUUCGGAUAAAUUCACGUAACUGCGGCUAAUAUACCAUAGGAUCUCCUGCAGCACGGGGGGGGAUGGAAAAUUUCGGCUGUUGUGGAUGGACUAGCGGCUUAUCAGCUUGUUGGUGGGGUUGUGGCUUACCAAGGCUUUGACGGGUAGCCGGCCUGAGAGGGUGACCGGCCACAAUGGGACUAAGAGACGGAGCAGUCGCCUACGGUAGGCAGCAGUGGGGAAUAUUACACAAUGGGCGGAAGCCUGAUGCAGCGACGCCGCGUGCGUGAUGACGGCUUUCGGGUUGUGAACCGCUUUCGCCUGUGACGAAGCGUGAGUGACGGUAAUGGGUAAAGAAGCACCGGCUAACUACGUG